This 281-nucleotide RNase P RNA is filed under the name Minisyncoccota bacterium. RNAcentral describes it as "RNase P RNA component class A". It matches the Rfam family "Bacterial RNase P class A". Rfam says of the family: Ribonuclease P (RNase P) is a ubiquitous endoribonuclease, found in archaea, bacteria and eukarya as well as chloroplasts and mitochondria. Its best characterised activity is the generation of mature 5'-ends of tRNAs by cleaving the 5'-leader elements of precursor-tRNAs. Lineage: Bacteria; Bacillati; Minisyncoccota. The record is from RNAcentral.
GUUCUUUGUUGGGUAGACGCGUCUACUUUUUAGUGGAUGAGGAAAGUCCGAACACAUCGUCGUAGUAAUACGACAAGCGUAGCGGGUAACGCCCGUCGUGGGUGACCAUCGUGUUGCGAACAGAAACGAUCCGGUUAAGUCCGGCUGAAACGGCUAAAUACAUACGUGUGUGCAAGACCGUACUGGAGCAAUCCUUUGAGUCGCAUGAGGUGAUGGGUAACUAUCAUCCUAGGUACAUGUCUAUACAAAUACAGAAUUCGGCUUAUAGAUAAAGAACAAUA